UGGAAUGAUGGGGACUUUGAGAGAUUUGUAACUGAAGCUGCCUUCAUGCUUGUUAGAAUGGUGGGGUGGAAGAGUUCCCAGUUUUGAAGGAGAAGUACAAGAAGACCCGUAAUGGUUAGCAAGAUAUACAGAACACAGUGGACAUAGCAGCACACUUCUCAAGUCAGCUCCAGGUUCAAGCUCAAAGGCCUAAAGUUUUCCAAACAUCUGAAGAAGAAGAAGAUUUUUGAGACUGUCCCAGCCUAUUACAUAAAGGAAACAUAACCAAGAAUUUUGUCUAAAGGUUUUUAUUUGAAACAAAUAUUUGCACCAAGCAAGAGCUUCUUUUCCCCACUCCAAAUUAAAACACAGCGCAACAGGGGCCACAUUUAUUUGGCAGGACAGUUCCAAUAUGUGAACAUCCUCCUCCUCACUGCCAUUGGGGUGACUUGACUCAUAAGCAGCUGUUCUUACACAAAAUAUUAACCCGAACUGCUAGUGUCACACAAAAAGAAGUGGUCUUGACUGUGUAUGUGGGCCAGCAUGUUCUACAAAUGCUGAAAGGUGGGAGAAGCACAAAUACAACCCACUCUUUAAAAAAA
This 581-nucleotide long non-coding RNA is filed under the name Homo sapiens (human). RNAcentral's name for it is "HSALNT0382739". The record is from RNAcentral. Lineage: Eukaryota; Metazoa; Chordata; Mammalia; Primates; Hominidae.